This 481-nucleotide ribosomal RNA is filed under the name uncultured bacterium. Its description in RNAcentral is "partial 16S ribosomal RNA". It matches the Rfam family "Bacterial small subunit ribosomal RNA", at positions 28 to 507 of the family's 1533-position model. The record is from RNAcentral.
GAUGAACGCUGGCGGCGUGCUUAACACAUGCAAGUCGAACGAAACACCUUAUUUGAUUUUCUUCGGAACUGAAGAUUUGGUGAUUGAGUGGCGGACGGGUGAGUAACGCGUGGGUAACCUGCCCUGUACAGGGGGAUAACAGUCAGAAAUGACUGCUAAUACCGCAUAAGACCACAGCACCGCAUGGUGCAGGGGUAAAAACUCCGGUGGUACAGGAUGGACCCGCGUCUGAUUAGCUGGUUGGUCAGGUAACGGCUCACCAAGGCGACGAUCAGUAGCCGGCUUGAGAGAGUGAACGGCCACAUUGGGACUGAGACACGGCCCAAACUCCUACGGGAGGCAGCAGUGGGGAAUAUUGCACAAUGGGGGAAACCCUGAUGCAGCGACGCCGCGUGAGUGAAGAAGUAUUUCGGUAUGUAAAGCUCUAUCAGCAGGGAAGAAAAUGACGGUACCUGACUAAGAAGCCCCGGCUAACUACGUG